UAAAGCGUUCUGUUAAGUCAGAUAACGAACGAGACCCUCAUCUCUAUUUGCUACCCGUCUCUCCGGAGGCGGCGCACUAUAGGGAGACCGCUUGGUGUUAAACCAGAGGAAGGCGAGGGCAACGACAGGUCAGUAUGCCCCGAAUGUCCUGGGCUACACGCGCGCUACAAAGGACGGGACAAUGGGAAGCCAGGCCGAGAGGCCGAGCUAACCCGAAACCCGUUCAUAGUUCGGAUCGAGGGCUGUAACUCGCCCUCGUGAAGCUGGAUUCCGUAGUAAUCGUGUUUCAAUAUAGCACGGUGAAUAUGCCCCUGCUCCUUGCACACACCGCCCGUCAAACCAUC
Molecule: ribosomal RNA, 344 nt
Filed under: uncultured archaeon
Lineage: Archaea
Description: bacterial SSU rRNA
Rfam family: Archaeal small subunit ribosomal RNA
Source: RNAcentral